Molecule: transfer RNA, 74 nt
Filed under: Myxococcales bacterium
Lineage: Bacteria; Pseudomonadati; Myxococcota; Myxococcia; Myxococcales
Also listed under: 1 other name
Description: tRNA-Arg
Rfam family: tRNA
About the family: Transfer RNA (tRNA) molecules are approximately 80 nucleotides in length. Their secondary structure includes four short double-helical elements and three loops (D, anti-codon, and T loops). Further hydrogen bonds mediate the characteristic L-shaped molecular structure. tRNAs have two regions of fundamental functional importance: the anti-codon, which is responsible for specific mRNA codon recognition, and the 3' end, to which the tRNAs corresponding amino acid is attached (by aminoacyl-tRNA synthetases). tRNAs cope with the degeneracy of the genetic code in two manners: having more than one tRNA (with a specific anti-codon) for a particular amino acid; and 'wobble' base-pairing, i.e. permitting non-standard base-pairing at the 3rd anti-codon position.
Source: RNAcentral
GCGCCCGUAGCUCAGCUGGAUAGAGCGUCGGUCUACGGAACCGAAAGUCGGAAGUUCGAAUCUUUCCGGGCGCG